AGAGAGAUGUCCUAAACCACUAGACGAUGGGGGGC
Molecule: transfer RNA, 35 nt
Filed under: Hemiboea cavaleriei var. paucinervis
Lineage: Eukaryota; Viridiplantae; Streptophyta; Magnoliopsida; Lamiales; Gesneriaceae
Description: partial tRNA-Glu
Source: RNAcentral